AAAGUCGUAACAAGGUUUCCGUAGGUGAACCUGCGGAAGGAUCAUUAGAAAAUCCAAGAGCGGUUGACCGCACUUGGGUACUUUUCUAACCCCAUUGUUGACCAUUACCUCUGUUGCUUCCACAGCAAAGCAAUUUUUUGCACCGCUGUGAAUAGAUCUAAAUUAUAACCUUUGUAAUUAACAUGUCUUUGUCUGAUAAUAAAGAUUAAAUGUCUUAAAACUUUCAACAACGGAUCUCUUGGCUCCU
Molecule: unclassified non-coding RNA, 247 nt
Filed under: Ascomycota sp.
Lineage: Eukaryota; Fungi; Ascomycota
Description: partial contains small subunit ribosomal RNA, internal transcribed spacer 1, and 5.8S ribosomal RNA
Rfam family: Eukaryotic small subunit ribosomal RNA (bases 1-47)
Source: RNAcentral